GUACGUUGACUCCGUGGCUACGAGGACGACGCUGGCGGCGUGCCUAAUACAUGCAAGUCGAGCGGACUAAUAGGUUCUUCGGAACCUGUUGGUUAGCGGCGGACGGGUGAGUAACACGUAGGCAACCUGCCCGUAAGACUGGGAUAACUACCGGAAACGGUAGCUAAUACCGGAUACGCAAAUUCCUCGCAUGGGGGAUUUGGGAAAGGCGGAGCAAUCUGUCACUUACGGAUGGGCCUGCGGCGCAUUAGCUAGUUGGUGGGGUAACGGCUCACCAAGGCGACGAUGCGUAGCCGACCUGAGAGGGUGAACGGCCACACUGGGACUGAGACACGGCCCAGACUCCUACGGGAGGCAGCAGUAGGGAAUCUUCCGCAAUGGACGAAAGUCUGACGGGAGCAACGCCGCGUGAGUGAAGAAGGUUUUCGGAUCGUAAAGCUCUGUUGCCAGGGAAGAACGUCCUCUAGAGUAACUGCUAGGGGAGUGACGGUACCUGAGAAGAAAGCCCCGGCUAACUACGUG
RNAcentral lists this ribosomal RNA (522 nucleotides) under uncultured Paenibacillus sp. Its description in RNAcentral is "bacterial SSU rRNA". It matches the Rfam family "Bacterial small subunit ribosomal RNA", at positions 1 to 507 of the family's 1533-position model. The record is from RNAcentral. Lineage: Bacteria; Bacillati; Bacillota; Bacilli; Caryophanales; Paenibacillaceae.